AGCGUACACGGUGGAUGCCCUGGCAGUCAGAGGCGAUGAAGGACGUGCUAAUCUGCGAAAAGCGCCGGCGAGGUGAUAUGAACCUUUGACCCGGCGAUGUCCGAAUGGGGAAACCCAGUGCAAUCCGUUGCACUAUCGUUAACUGAAUACAUAGGUUAACGAGGCGAACCGGGGGAACUGAAACAUCUAAGUACCCCGAGGAAAAGAAAUCAACCGAGAUUCCCCCAGUAGCGGCGAGCGAACGGGGAGCAGCCCGGAGUCUGAAUCAGCUUGUGUGUUAGUGGAACGGUCUGGAAAGUCCGACGGUACAGGGUGAUAGUCCCGUACACGAAAGCACACUUGCUGUGAACUCGAAGAGUAGGGCGGGACACGUGGUAUCCUGUCUGAAUAUGGGGGGACCAUCCUCCAAGGCUAAAUACUCCUGACUGACCGAUAGUGAACCAGUACCGUGAGGGAAAGGCGAAAAGAACCCCGGCGAGGGGAGUGAAAAAGAACCUGAAACCGUGUACGUACAAGCAGUGGGAGCCUCUUUAUGGGGUGACUGCGUACCUUUUGUAUAAUGGGUCAGCGACUUAUAUUCUGUAGCAAGGUUAACCGUAUAGGGGAGCCGAAGGGAAACCGAGUCUUAACUGGGCGUUAAGUUGCAGGGUAUAGACCCGAAACCCGGUGAUCUAGCCAUGGGCAGGUUGAAGGUUGGGUAACACUAACUGGAGGACCGAACCGACUAAUGUUGAAAAAUUAGCGGAUGACCUGUGGCUGGGGGUGAAAGGCCAAUCAAACCGGGAGAUAGCUGGUUCUCCCCGAAAGCUAUUUAGGUAGCGCCUCGUGAACUCAUCUUCGGGGGUAGAGCACUGUUUCGGCUAGGGGGCCAUCCCGGCUUACCAACCCGAUGCAAACUACGAAUACCGAAGAAUGUUAUCACGGGAGACACACGGCGGGUGCUAACGUCCGUCGUGAAGAGGGAAACAACCCAGACCGCCAGCUAAGGUCCCAAAGUCAUGGUUAAGUGGGAAACGAUGUGGGAAGGCACAGACAGCCAGGAUGUUGGCUUAGAAGCAGCCAUCAUUUAAAGAAAGCGUAAUAGCUCACUGGUCGAGUCGGCCUGCGCGGAAGAUGUAACGGGGCUAAACCAUGCACCGAAGCUGCGGCAGCGACGCUUAGGCGUUGUUGGGUAGGGGAGCGUUCUGUAAGCCGUUGAAGGUGUCCUGUGAGGGGUGCUGGAGGUAUCAGAAGUGCGAAUGCUGACAUAAGUAACGAUAAAGCGGGUGAAAAGCCCGCUCGCCGGAAGACCAAGGGUUCCUGUCCAACGUUAAUCGGGGCAGGGUGAGUCGACCCCUAAGGCGAGGCCGAAAGGCGUAGUCGAUGGGAAACAGGUUAAUAUUCCUGUACUUGGUGUUACUGCGAAGGGGGGACGGAGAAGGCUAUGUCAGCCGGGCGACGGUUGUCCCGGUUUAAGCAUGUAGGCGGAGGUUCCAGGUAAAUCCGGUACCUUAUUAACGCUGAGGUGUGAUGACGAGGCACUACGGUGCUGAAGUGAUAAAUGCCCUGCUUCCAGGAAAAGCCUCUAAGCAUCAGGUAACACGAAAUCGUACCCCAAACCGACACAGGUGGUCAGGUAGAGAAUACCAAGGCGCUUGAGAGAACUCGGGUGAAGGAACUAGGCAAAAUGGUGCCGUAACUUCGGGAGAAGGCACGCUGAUAUGUAGGUGAAGCCCCUGCGGGCGGAGCUGAAAUCAGUCGAAGAUACCAGCUGGCUGCAACUGUUUAUUAAAAACACAGCACUGUGCAAACACGAAAGUGGACGUAUACGGUGUGACGCCUGCCCGGUGCCGGAAGGUUAAUUGAUGGGGUUAGCGGCAACGCGAAGCUCUUGAUCGAAGCCCCGGUAAACGGCGGCCGUAACUAUAACGGUCCUAAGGUAGCGAAAUUCCUUGUCGGGUAAGUUCCGACCUGCACGAAUGGCGUAAUGAUGGCCAGGCUGUCUCCACCCGAGACUCAGUGAAAUUGAACUCGCUGUGAAGAUGCAGUGUACCCGCGGCAAGACGGAAAGACCCCGUGAACCUUUACUAUAGCUUGACACUGAACACUGGUCCUUGAUGUGUAGGAUAGGUGGGAGGCUUUGAAGCGUGGACGCCAGUCUGCGUGGAGCCAACCUUGAAAUACCACCCUUUAAUGGCUGGUGUUCUAACGUAGACCCGUAAUCCGGGUUGCGGACAGUGUCUGGUGGGUAGUUUGACUGGGGCGGUCUCCUCCCAAAGAGUAACGGAGGAGCACGAAGGUUGGCUAAUCCUGGUCGGACAUCAGGAGGUUAGUGCAAUGGCAUAAGCCAGCUUGACUGCGAGCGUGACGGCGCGAGCAGGUGCGAAAGCAGGUCAUAGUGAUCCGGUGGUUCUGAAUGGAAGGGCCAUCGCUCAACGGAUAAAAGGUACUCCGGGGAUAACAGGCUGAUACCGCCCAAGAGUUCAUAUCGACGGCGGUGUUUGGCACCUCGAUGUCGGCUCAUCACAUCCUGGGGCUGAAGUAGGUCCCAAGGGUAUGGCUGUUCGCCAUUUAAAGUGGUACGCGAGCUGGGUUUAGAACGUCGUGAGACAGUUCGGUCCCUAUCUGCCGUGGGCGCUGGAGAAUUGAGGGGGGCUGCUCCUAGUACGAGAGGACCGGAGUGGACGCAUCACUGGUGUUCGGGUUGUCAUGCCAAUGGCACUGCCCGGUAGCUAAAUGCGGAAGAGAUAAGUGCUGAAAGCAUCUAAGCACGAAACUUGCCCCGAGAUGAGUUCU
Molecule: ribosomal RNA, 2775 nt
Filed under: human gut metagenome
Description: bacterial LSU rRNA
Rfam family: Bacterial large subunit ribosomal RNA
Source: RNAcentral